This 425-nucleotide ribosomal RNA is filed under the name uncultured bacterium. Its description in RNAcentral is "partial 16S ribosomal RNA". It matches the Rfam family "Bacterial small subunit ribosomal RNA", at positions 354 to 796 of the family's 1533-position model. The record is from RNAcentral.
GUGGGGAAUAUUGGACAAUGGGCGCAAGCCUGAUCCAGCCAUGCCGCGUGAGUGAUGAAGGUCUUAGGAUUGUAAAAUUCUUUCACCGGGGACGAUAAUGACGGUACCCGGAGAAGAAGCUCCGGCUAACUUCGUGCCAGCAGCCGCGGUAAUACGAAGGGGGCUAGCGUUGCUCGGAAUUACUGGGCGUAAAGGGCGCGUAGGCGGACAGCUUAGUCAGAGGUGAAAGCCCAGGGCUCAACCUUGGAAUUGCCUUUGAUACUGGCUGUCUUGAGUUUGGUAGAGGUGAGUGGAACUCCGAGUGUAGAGGUGAAAUUCGUAGAUAUUCGGAAGAACACCAGUGGCGAAGGCGACUCACUGGCCCAAUACUGACGCUGAGGCGCGAAAGCGUGGGGAGCAAACAGGAUUAGAAACCCCUGUAGUCC